This 74-nucleotide transfer RNA is filed under the name Plesiops nakaharae. Its description in RNAcentral is "tRNA-Asp". It matches the Rfam family "tRNA". Rfam says of the family: Transfer RNA (tRNA) molecules are approximately 80 nucleotides in length. Their secondary structure includes four short double-helical elements and three loops (D, anti-codon, and T loops). Lineage: Eukaryota; Metazoa; Chordata; Actinopteri; Plesiopidae. The record is from RNAcentral.
AAGAUACUAGUAAAAUUUAGCCAUAACACCGCUUUGUCAAGGCGGAAUUGGGAGUUAAAAUCUCCCGUGUCUUG